Molecule: long non-coding RNA, 333 nt
Filed under: Hordeum vulgare
Lineage: Eukaryota; Viridiplantae; Streptophyta; Magnoliopsida; Poales; Poaceae
Description: long non-coding RNA (HVUL_LNC003918)
Source: RNAcentral
AACAAACAUGAUGGUCCCAUAUAUUAAUUUGACUUUGUUGCAUUACAAAGAACAUGAUCCAAAGGUUACAAUAAGUGAUACUAAAAUAGUACCCUAAUCUCGACGUUUCAAUCAACGCCUCGACCAUUCUAAAACACAAUGUUUGAAUUACCCACACUGGAAAUGACAUUCUAAAAAACUUCAUAAGACUAUCGAAUAGCAGCCCCAUUCUCCACCUUGCAAUCAACAUAUGGGCCAUGCAUCAUCAAUUUAUCAUAGCAACCUACAACAAUAAAGAAAUCAUAUCAGCAAGUUAUUUUGGAAAGAACAAGGUUAAGAGCGACCAAAUUAAAG